Molecule: long non-coding RNA, 4725 nt
Filed under: Salmo trutta (river trout)
Lineage: Eukaryota; Metazoa; Chordata; Actinopteri; Salmoniformes; Salmonidae
Description: lncRNA (ENSSTUG00000002734.1)
Source: RNAcentral
AUGGAGAGAUGCUCCAUCUCUCCUGUCAAACGACUGACCGCCCACCGCUGCCUUUUCUUCCUCCUGGUUGCCGCAGUGACGCGACCCUCAACCUGUAACCGUGACGACGAGGGCGAGGGGCAGGUGGAGGCCUUCUCAGCCCAGCUGUCCGUCACAGGACAGGUCACACCCACCCCUAUUUGGUCCGUGGACUGGGGCCCCACACUAGCCCUGGAGGACGAGACGCAUCACUUCCUGUCCAGCCAGGAAGCGGACCUGUACCACCAUGGCCAUGAAGUCCCCACGACAACCGCUGAGGCCUGGCUGCAUCAUCAGAGUGCACCAGGCAGCGUUUUGCCCCAGGAGCCCCUGGAUCUGCUGGAGGCCCCGGACGCAGAGGGAGUAGAGGAUGGAGGAAGUGAGGCAGAGGAGAGAGAGCCUGAGGAAGUGGACCCUCAGUUUUACGUCACAGUGACCAUCUCCUCUCUGCUCAUCCUGACUGCUGUCAUCAUAACAGCCAAACUCUGUUACGACCGCAGCUGUUCCCAGCGCCCGCCCCCGCUUUCCCGUGGCGUGGCCCCCCCCCCUCUCUCUCGCCCUGCCUCGUUCCCUGGCUCCGGAGGACAGCCGGCAGACGCUGCACGGCACCCCCUCCUUUACCGACAGGGAGAGGAUCCCCGUGGUGAACCUCUAAGGCGGCCGUUUUUGAAUUGAUACACAUUUCUACGGGAUGCGACGGAGAACAUCAACAUCGCCAGAGGGUGUGCCCACCGUGGCCCACUUCGUUCUUCUAUUUAUCUUUGACUGUGAAAAUGAAAAUCAGGAAACCAGGUAUCCAGCCAUGGCAAAACCUAUUUUUCCCUCCAUCCCUUCCUCGUGAAGGAGAAAAGCCCGAUCUCAUCCCUUCCUUCCUGCUGCCACGCCUCUUUUCUCCACUUUCCUAUGGCUCUCUGUCACUGUUGACUGACCAAACCUUCCUCUCUGUUUUAUAUUCCGUUGUCUGUACUGCCCCAGGCUGUAGCAGCAACACACGUACAGCUCCCUCCGCUUUAUCCGCUUUGACUAAUUCACAAGCAAACAGUGUUAGAUAUCAAUAUAACGUUUUAUUCCCGCCGGUGCCAAAACCGCAUAGCUGUAUGAGGCUGUUUGGAAUAUUUCAUACAGCUAUCUUGUGUAGCUGAACCUUGAACUAUGAUGAAAUAGUGGACUUGGUUGUUGAAACUUAGUUGAAAGUGAAAUUUGUGUGUUAUCUGAAACUGAAAUAUAGGUGUUCAGCUAGCUGGUGAAGGGUUAAAACAAUCCCUGUUUCCUAGGACUGAAGGGGGUAUUUCACAAAGCUGGUUGGCAAUGUUGUCGCCAGCAGCCAAUGUGCUUAACACGACACGGUCCAAAAAUCGCUGUUUACUCCCGCUUGGAAUGCAAAUAGGCCCACUGCAGCUUCCACAUUCGCAAUGUGUUUUCUGGGUGUUUUUUAUUCCCUAAAUUAUUCUCUUCAUUUGUUCCUUUAAUUUUCUCGCUUCUUUGCCGGUUCUCUUUGUUGUGCCUUUGUGAGCGUGUUAUUUUGUCUCUGGAGCAUGGGGAUGAGCAGUGUUUAUAUAGUACUGCUCUAUAUAGGGUUGUGAAAUUCUGUAAUUUUCCCAAAAUUCCCUGGUUUUCCAGAAAUCCCGGUUGGAAGAUUCCUGGAAUUAGGAGGGAAGGAAAUACAGGAAUUUCCCAACUGGGAUUUCUGGAAAACCAGGGAAUUUGCGGAAAGUUAUCCUUGUUGUAUAUGAAAAUAGUGGUGCAAACAAUGUGCAAUACAUGUUUGCAUAUAUUGCAAUCAGUACAAUCAAACGAUACAUGUGGUACAAUCAAUGGUGGUUGCAGGUUAACAUAAUGGGUAUAAAUGAUUCAGUCCAGAAUUAAUGAGUCAUUUUACCAUCAUCUGUUGUUUCUAUCGAAAUUCUGCUCUGACUUCAAAGCUUACACUAGUGUUUACUGUAGGAUAUUAGGGUAAUGUACCUGUCCAACUCUUCCACCAGCUUUGAGAAAUGACCCUCUGGACUUCCACUACACUAGUACACAUAGCGUUGUGACAUCAUACGUGACACGUGUCGUUCUGCAGUCCAGUGUUCCUUGGUUCUCAGUAGCAUUCCUGUAGACGUGUGGUUCCACUGUAUGAUGGGAAAACAAUAAAAACUCAACACUGGUGUUUUAGCACUGUAUCCGACUGGACUUUACUGGCCAGUGGCUUUGGGUCAAGAUAGAACUGACAAUGUGCGAGGGCCAGCCUUACAGGAGAAUGGAUGCAUCUCAACUGGCCUGAGUUGCCUCCUUUCCUUCAUCCGUCCUAGGUUGAAGAUACCCAGGUUACGACAACCUAAUAAUUCCACGAAUCAACGGAUUCAUGGAACAGGUGCUGUUGCUGACUAGCAUCCCUGAUCCCUUCGUUUAGAAUCCUACCUCAUUUAUGCAAAGACAUAUGGGAUAUUAUAAUUAUUAUGUCUUAACCUUUAUCUCCAACCUAGCAUCUGUACUAAACUUUAGGAUGAGGAGAAGAAGAGAUUGUCAUAAAAGAGACCAGGAAAUACACAUGGGAGCCAUGUGUUCUAAUUGUGUCAUUCAAUCCAUUAACUGCGAGUUCCAUUUGGCUUCUAGUGCAGAUCAGAGCCAUGUAUUUAGAUAUCAGAGCCAUAUAUUUAGAUAUCAGAGCAAUAUAUUUAGAUAUCAGAGCCAUAUAUUUAGAUAUCAGAGCCAUAGAUAUCAGAGCCAUAUAUUUAGAUAUCAGAGCCAUGUAUUAAAAUAUAAAUAUAUGGCACUGGUGCAGUUAUACUUCCUGAUUAUGACAAUCUCUCUUCUUCUCUAUUUUAUCCUAGGUCAGGUCUACACUACAUCAUCCUAAACUUGAAUGCGUUUUCAAAUCUGUAAUAAGAUACAGGAGAGCAAGCCACUUUACACUAUUGAGACGUACCCAAAGAAAAUCCUCCAUUUACUGGAAGUAUUAGAAGCUGCGGUGUGAGAGAGACCAGACAGAGAGGACAGUGUCUGCUGUUGCUUUUUCAUUUCCUCUGGGCAUUUUAAUGAUCAAUCAAAGUAAUUGAUUGGCUGGCUGAAGUCCACUCCAAAGUUAACUACUGGCUGAUUAUGAGUCCAACCAGCAGACGCUGUAGCACUCCGUAGUCUGUGUGUUUAAGGAAGGACACACAGUUAGGUAUACACAUGCAGUCACAUCUGAAGUUUUACGCACACACAAAGUAUCCCUCUCACAGCCACAUAAACACACUUUUUUUUUACGUAACCUUUCUUUAACUAGGCAAGUCAGUUAAGAACAAAUUCUUAUUUACGACGGCCCGACGCUGGGCCAAUUGUGCGCCGCCCUAUGGGACUAUCAAUCACGGCCGGAUGUGCCUGGAUUCGAACCAGUGACACCUUUUGCAAUGAGAUGCGGUGCCUUAGCCCACUUCGCCACCUAGGUGUACAGCUGCUAGAAUUCACAGCUCCCAUCUGGUAGGAACCGAGCAAACUGUGAAACAGUAAAGCUCAAUCACACUGACUGAAAUUAACACGGCUAUUUAUAGAGGGGGAGAGACGGAAAGGGGGAGAAACAAAGUUGGGAAGAGGGAGGAAAUGGGGUUAAAACGGAAUAGGAUAAUUUCCCUGUCUCUCCAUCCCCCUUUUCUCUCUCUCUCUGUGGGUUCCAUGGGAGUUAAUAGCUACCAUUAACGUCAUGCAGGAUAGGAAGAGAGGGUUUUUAGAGAAAACAGAGGGAGGCUGAGGAGAGAGAAAGAGAGCGAGCGAGCGAGAGACACGGACAGGAUGAACGUGAAAAAUGAAAUUUGGAGCGUGUGAUUGGGGGGGGGGCAGACAAUUUCGACAGGCAAUUUUGACGGUGAAGUAUAAGCUUUGGGCAAAAUAUACCGAUAUCAAAUAUGAAUGCCCUAUGUGUGUCUGUGUGUGGCAGAGAAAAUGAGGCUGAGAGACGGAGAGAGUGUGUGUAACCAAGCCGACUGAUCACAAGGGUAGUUCCAGCGCUCUAAUAUAUUAGUCUCUUUGGGGAUAACCUAAUUAAGGGUGUGACCUAACACAGAUAUCCCCCUUCUGUGAGUUAACAUUUAGCUAGUGAUGCAACCUCCAAUUGCACUUUAAAGUAUGCACAAAAAAAACCAGUAAGACAGAGACUAAAUGAAUAGAGGAGGUUCAAUUUAUUACCAACAAUUAAUAUCCUGAUUUUAUACACGUCUCAACUCAAUCCUCAGCAGAAAAAAAUACAAUCAAACAAAAUGUGUAACACAAUAGAGUACACACAUCAAAUACACACAUUCAGUUUCACUGCUUGUGGCUCUGCUUCUCCUGAUAAAACAGACAGCAGCGAAGCUCUGCCCAGAGAAGAUUAUACUCGGUCUGUCGCUCUCUGUCUGUCUCUGUGUACAUGUUAGAAUGGGUUUGGGUCUGUGUAUAUACACAGUGCAGAUAGUCCAUCUGUCUGGUUGUGUGUACACAUCUAUCAGAAUGGGUGUCAGUCACUGCAAUUGUGUCUGUCUGACUCAGUGUAUAUCUAUAUAUCUAUAUAUAUAUAUAUAUAUAUAUAUUAUAUAUAUAUAUAUAUAUAUAUAUAUAUAUACAGUGUGUGUGUGUGUGUGUGCGUGCAUGGAUGUGUGUGUAAAUCUUUGUGUUGUCUGUGCAUUGGUCACAUUAUCGGUCUAUGAGUCUGUGUGUGCCUAUGUGUCAGUCCAUCCAUCUGACAGUGGAUCAGUGGGGGUGUGCCGG